Molecule: ribosomal RNA, 440 nt
Filed under: uncultured bacterium
Lineage: Bacteria
Description: partial 16S ribosomal RNA
Rfam family: Bacterial small subunit ribosomal RNA
Source: RNAcentral
CCUACGGGAGGCAGCAGUCGGGAAUAUUGCGCAAUGGAGGAAACUCUGACGCAGUGACGCCGCGUAUAGGAAGCAGUUUUUCGGAAUGUAAACUAUUGUCGUGAGGGAAGAAAAUGACGGUACCUGAGUACGAAGCCCCGGCUAACUACGUGCCAGCAGCCGCGGUAAUACGUAGGGGGCAAGCGUUAUCCGGAUUUACUGGGUGUAAAGGGAGCGUAGACGGCAGUGCAAGUCUGGAGUGAAAGGCGGGGGCUCAACCCCCGGACUGCUCUGGAAACUGUACGGCGGGAGUGCAGGAGAGGUAAGUGGAAUUCCUAGUGUAGCGGUGAAAGGCGUAGAUAGUAGGAGGAACACCAGUGGCGAAGGCGGCUUACUGGACUGUAACUGACGUUGAGGCUCGAAAGCGUGGGGAGCAAACAGGAUUAGAUACCCGGGUAGUC